Molecule: ribosomal RNA, 434 nt
Filed under: Wolbachia endosymbiont of Bemisia tabaci
Lineage: Bacteria; Pseudomonadati; Pseudomonadota; Alphaproteobacteria; Rickettsiales; Anaplasmataceae
Description: bacterial SSU rRNA
Rfam family: Bacterial small subunit ribosomal RNA
Source: RNAcentral
UCAUACCCUAUUCGAAGGGAUAGGGUCGGUUCGGCCGGAUUUUACACAGGUGUUGCAUGGCUGUCGUCAGCUCGUGUCGUGAGAUGUUGGGUUAAGUCCCGCAACGAGCGCAACCCUCAUCCUUAGUUGCCAUCAGGUAAUGCUGAGCACUUUAAGGAAACUGCCAGUGAUAAGCUGGAGGAAGAUGGGGAUGAUGUCAAGUCAUCAUGGCCUUUAUGAAGUGGGCUACACACGUGCUACAAUGGUGUCUACAAUGGGCUGCAAGGUGCGCAAGCCUAAGCUAAUCCCUAAAAGACAUCUCAGUUCGGAUUGUACUCUGCAACUCGAGUGCAUGAAGUUGGAAUCGCUAGUAAUCGUGGAUCAGCAUGCCACGGUGAAUACGUUCUCGGGUCUUGUACACACUGCCCGUCACGCCAUGGGAAUUGGUUUCACUC